This 76-nucleotide transfer RNA is filed under the name Crocinitomicaceae bacterium. Its description in RNAcentral is "tRNA-Gly". It matches the Rfam family "tRNA". Rfam says of the family: Transfer RNA (tRNA) molecules are approximately 80 nucleotides in length. Their secondary structure includes four short double-helical elements and three loops (D, anti-codon, and T loops). The record is from RNAcentral. Lineage: Bacteria; Pseudomonadati; Bacteroidota; Flavobacteriia; Flavobacteriales; Crocinitomicaceae.
GCAGCAUUAGUUUCAAUUGGUAAAACCUCGUCCUUCCAAGUCGAUGUCGUCGGUUCGACCCCGGCAUGCUGCUCCA